AUGUUGGAUCGGAUGGGUCGCGUAACCUUUCCCGAUUGCAACACCAACACGUUGUGUGUUACCAUCAGGUAAGUUUCUAUGCUGUCCUUUUUCACAAUAUAUAAGAGGUAGUAAAAUGGGCAGGACUAACAAGGCCAGAAGGUGCAACUUUUUGUUACAGGUCAGGUCUAAACGAACGCUUUUUAUGUGUGAAUUUAUUAAAUUUCUUUGCAAAUAAUUACUAUUUGGCACAUUUCGUUUUAAGUUAUAUUUUUACGUGUUUGGCCCGUUUGAGAUGAAACAUAGCUUGAAUUUACACUUCCAUAAGUGAAUGGGUCAAAGUUAGAAGACUGUUAUAUACUACAUCAAGUAGAAUGCCAUGUAAAAUAUGAUCAUGUCACUAGCUUUUGAAGGUGACUCAUAUGUAUUUUUCUAAAAUAAUCCAGGCAUGGUUUGCAACAGGAGAUGCAGGUUGUAAUGGUGAUGCCACAUGGGGUUCAAGGUCGGUGGUCAUCACAGCCACGUAGACUUUGUAUUCAAAAGACGAAAUUUAAAUAUAUACAUGGAUGGAUGCUACACUUCAUGAGCUAACUAAUCUGGUCUCAAUCCAAAUCAGCAGUUACGUAGGGUUGGGAACUAGCUCUACUCGAUUGUCCACUUAAUAUAGAUUAUCUUUGUUUUGUUUGUUACGAUGUCAACGUAACCCGUCCACUAGACGGAUAUUAAACUAGUUUAGUGUGUUAGAUUUAUAUAUUAUU
This 737-nucleotide long non-coding RNA is filed under the name Helianthus annuus (common sunflower). Lineage: Eukaryota; Viridiplantae; Streptophyta; Magnoliopsida; Asterales; Asteraceae. The record is from RNAcentral.